This 436-nucleotide ribosomal RNA is filed under the name bacterium enrichment culture clone ALO1_GLFRUDD03FKGEJ. RNAcentral describes it as "bacterial SSU rRNA". It matches the Rfam family "Bacterial small subunit ribosomal RNA", at positions 9 to 446 of the family's 1533-position model. The record is from RNAcentral.
GAGUUUGAUCGUGGCUCAGAUUGAACGCUGGCGGCAUGCCUUACACAUGCAAGUCGAACGGCAGCACGGGAGCUUGCUCCUGGUGGCGAGUGGCGAACGGGUGAGUAAUGCAUCGGAACGUAUCCUGGAGUGGGGGAUAACGUAGCGAAAGUUACGCUAAUACCGCAUAUUCUGUGAGCAGGAAAGCGGGGGACCUUCGGGCCUCGCGCUCUUGGAGCGGCCGAUGUCGGAUUAGCUAGUUGGUGAGGUAAAGGCUCACCAAGGCGACGAUCCGUAGCAGGUCUGAGAGGAUGAUCUGCCACACUGGAACUGAGACACGGUCCAGACUCCUACGGGAGGCAGCAGUGGGGAAUUUUGGACAAUGGGGGCAACCCUGAUCCAGCCAUGCCGCGUGAGUGAAGAAGGCCUCGGUUGUAAGUACGUACUUUCGUCGUAC